CCUACGGGAGGCAGCAGUGAGGAAUAUUGGUCAAUGGACGAGAGUCUGAACCAGCCAAGUAGCGUGAAGGAUGACUGCCCUCUGGUUUUUAAACUUCUUUUAUAUGGGAAUAAAAUGUUCCACGUGUGGGGUUUUGUAUGUACCAUAUGAAUAAGGAACGGCUAACUCCGUGCCAGCAGCCGCGGUAAUACAGAGGAUCCGAGCGUUAUCCGGAUUUAUUGGGUUUAAAGUGAGCGUAGGUGGAUUGUUAAGUCAGUUGGGAAAGUUUGCGGCUCAACCGUAAAAUUGCAGUUGAAACUGGCAGUCUUGAGUACAGUAGAGGUGGGCGGAAUUCGUGGUGUAGCGGUGAAAUGCUUAGAUAUCACGAAGAACUCCGAUUGCGAAGGCAGCUCACUGGACUGCAACUGACACUGAGGAUCGAAAGUGUGGGUAUCAAACAGGAUUAGAGACCCGUGUAGUC
This 460-nucleotide ribosomal RNA is filed under the name uncultured bacterium. RNAcentral's name for it is "partial 16S ribosomal RNA". It matches the Rfam family "Bacterial small subunit ribosomal RNA", at positions 338 to 795 of the family's 1533-position model. The record is from RNAcentral.